GGUAGUAGCAUUUUCAUUACAAGUGACUAAAAGAACAGCUGAUGGUGCAGCAGUGCUUGCUUUUCCUUAGAAUUUUGCAUUCUGUUUGCAGAUAAGGUCCCAAAGACAGCAGAAAAUUUUCGUGCUCUGAGCACCGGAGAGAAAGGAUUUGGUUAUAAGGGUUCCUGCUUUCACAGAAUUAUUCCAGGGUUUAUGUGUCAGGGUGGUGACUUCACACGCCAUAAUGGCACUGGUGGCAAGUCCAUCUAUGGGGAGAAAUUUGAAGAUGAGAACUUCAUCCUAAAGCAUACAGGUCCUGGCAUCUUGUCCAUGGCAAAUGCUGGACCCAACACAAAUGGUUCCCAGUUUUUCAUCUGCACUGCCAAGACUGAGUGACUGGAUCUCGCUCUUAUCUCCCAGGCUGGAGUGCAUUCGUGCCAUCAGCUCACUGCAACCUCCUCCCGGGUUCAAGCAAUUCUUCUGCCUCAGCCUCCCAAGUAGCUGGGACUAUAGGUUGGAUGGCAAGCAUGUGGUCUUUGGCAAAGUGAAAGAAGGCAUGAAUAUUGUGGAGGCCAUGGAGCGCUUUGGGUCCAGGAAUGGCAAGACCAGCAAGAAGAUCACCAUUGCUGACUGUGGACAACUUGAAUAAAUUUGACUUGUGUUUUAUCUUAACCACCAGACCAUUCCUUCCGUAGCUCAGGAGAGCACCCCUCCACCCCAUUUGCUCGCAGUAUCCUAGAAUCUUUGUGCUCUCGCUGCAGUUCCCUUUGGGUUCCAUGUUUUCCUUGUUCCUCCCAUGCCUAGCUGGAUUGCAGAGUUAAGUUUAUGAUUAUGAAAUAAAAACUAAAUA
This 829-nucleotide small RNA is filed under the name Pongo abelii (Sumatran orangutan). RNAcentral's name for it is "processed transcript". The record is from RNAcentral. Lineage: Eukaryota; Metazoa; Chordata; Mammalia; Primates; Hominidae.